RNAcentral lists this ribosomal RNA (434 nucleotides) under uncultured bacterium. Its description in RNAcentral is "partial 16S ribosomal RNA". It matches the Rfam family "Bacterial small subunit ribosomal RNA", at positions 29 to 507 of the family's 1533-position model. The record is from RNAcentral.
AGCGAACGCUGGCGGCAGGCCUAACACAUGCAAGUCGAACGAACCUUUCGGGGUUAGUGGCGGACGGGUGAGGAACACGUGGGAACGUGCCUUUAGGUUCGGAAUAACUCAGGGAAACUUGUGCUAAUACCGAAUGUGCCCUUCGGGGGAAAGAUUUAUCGCCUUUAGAGCGGCCCGCGUCUGCUUAGCUAGUUGGUUGAGGUAAUGGCUCACCAAGGCGACGUUCAGUAGCUGGUCUGAGAGGAUGGUUAGCCACAUUGGGACUGAGACACGGCCCAAACUCCUACGGGAGGCAGCAGUGGGGGAUCUUGCGCAAUGGGCGAAAGCCUGACGCAGCCAUGCCGCGUGAAUGAUGAAGGUCUUAGGAUUGUAAUAUUCUUUCACCGGUGACGAUAAUGACGGUACCCGGAGAAGAAGCCCCGGCUAACUUCGUG